Molecule: ribosomal RNA, 446 nt
Filed under: uncultured bacterium
Lineage: Bacteria
Description: partial 16S ribosomal RNA
Rfam family: Bacterial small subunit ribosomal RNA
Source: RNAcentral
CCUACGGGAGGCUGCAGUCGAGAAUCAUUCACAAUGGGGGAAACCCUGAUGGUGCGACGCCGCGUGGGGGAAUGAAGGUCUUCGGAUUGUAAACCCCUGUCAUGUGGGAGCAAAUUAAAAUGAUUGUACCACAAGAGGCAGAGACGGCUAACCCUGUGCCAGCAGCCGCGGUAAUACAGGGGACUCAAGCGUUGUUCGGAAUCACUGGGCGUAAAGCGUGCGUGGGCUGUUUGGUAAGUCGUGGGUAAAAGGCGCGGGCUCAACCCGCGGACGACACAUGAUACUGCGAGACUAGAGUAAGGGAGGGGGAACCGGAAUUCUCGGUGUAGCAGUGAAAUGCGUAGAUAUCGGAAGGAACACUCGUGGCGAAGGCGGGUUACUGGACAGUAACUGACGCUGAGGCACGAAGGCCAGGGGAGCGAAAGGGAUUAGAUACCCCAGUAGUC